Triticum aestivum (bread wheat) is the source of this 2377-nucleotide long non-coding RNA. RefSeq lists it as uncharacterized. Lineage: Eukaryota; Viridiplantae; Streptophyta; Magnoliopsida; Poales; Poaceae. The record is from RefSeq and is a predicted model, not a curated record. The transcript is spliced from 6 exons.
CCUAGCCCAGGGUCUCCGCACCAGCCCCUUCUCACCUUUGACGCCGCCGCCUCCUCUCCUCUCCCUCAAUUCUCCUCGCGCCGCCGCACCUACUCCGAGCCCCUCCUCUUCCCCAUGCCACCGGCCUCCCUCCUCUGCUUCUCUCAUCGUCGGUCGCGGAUCUCCUCGCCGCGGUUGCAGUGGCCGAACAAGACGAAGAGGAGCUGCAGCGUUGGGUCCGUGCAGCGGCCUCCUCGCGGCGGCCAGCUGCUCGACGCGCCGCGCCACCGCUGUGGGAGAUGGUGAACACGAGGAGAUGCAGGGUGGCCUCGCCGAAAGAGGGUGGCGCCGGGAACCACCCACUGGCGAAGGAUCGCGUGGGCUGGCACUUCCCCGCGAUGCCCUCCUUCCCUGACUUCGCCGUCGACACUGCCCCCUCCCCUCCCGUCGAGGCUGAGCGUGCACAGCAUGGACGAGCCGAUCGCGACGAAACCAGACCGCUCGAGGCCGGGGUGCGAGAACAAGAUGAUGUCCAACAGGCGGAGAGUGGCCAUGGGAGGAGCAGCCCACAAUGAAAUCCAUUUUCUCUUUGUGUGUGUGAGGAUCGAGGAAGGAGAUGGCGUGGCCGCGUGGGGAUGAGGCGGUGGACAGAGGAAGAGGACAGAUCUGGAUCCAGGCGGCCACUCGUGUGUUUGAUCUGUAGAGUGGCCAGAGGAGUAGACCAACAUCCCUCUUUACCUUCCACGCAACACCAACAUGGGUUCUAGAGCUGCACUUAACUUGCUAACAUCAUCGCCUUGUUCUUCCUGGCAAUGUAAGGACCAUCAACUUCCAUCUGCAACUCUAGCACAAGAGUGAGGAUGGUGAGCCAACCGACAACACCGCAAGAUUCUACAAAUGGUUCUCAAAGGUUUGAUGGCGAUGACAUGGCGCAGUCGAGCAAGUUUUGGUCAAUGUUUCAUGGUUCAAUCAACGAAUGGUGUUAAAACUGAAAAUCAUGAAAGCAAGAUUUUGAGUGAUUCCUACCUCGAGCUUCUGCUUCAGUUGUUUCUUGGUUGUUCAAGUAUGCUUGGUGGUUCUCCAUCGAGGGUUGAGAUGGACCAUGCACUGGUUACAUCUUCUCCUAUCUCCAUGUUCUUCUUAAUUUUCUUUUGCAAUGAGAGCUGGAUUUAGACAGCAGUUUGUGCAGUCCAUGCUUUUAACAUUGAAAAUGAGAAGGUGAAAUGAUGGGUUUGGACAGUGCUGGUGUUUUUUUUCUGGGCAUUACAUUACUAAAAUGAACUAUAUUAACAAUUGUUGAACUUCCAUAGCUAAUAAGAUGAUUUUUUUCAGCAUUCGAUAUGGAACAAUUUUACCAUAUGUGGCUGCUUUCAGGUUAGUAAGUUUUGUUCUUCAUUAUAUUUUUCUUAUUAUUCUGAAUGCCACCAUGGACUCUUAGUUUCUUAGUAGUAUAUGCUUAAUUUGCUUUACUGGAGACAUACAUUUCCCUCAAACUGCAAGGAAUGAUGUAAUAUAAAGAGAAAAUCAGAUCUGUCUCACACCUACCUUCAAUAAUAAGAGGCCUCAUUCUAAUCUGUUGUGCUACCAUGUACAAGCAUUUACAAAUUAGUGUCAAGAUUAGAAUCUUAUUAUUAUAACCAUUUAUAAAUUAUGUGUACCUUGAACCCACAUGCCAUGGCACCAUUUAAUAACAUGUACAAACCACCAAGGACUUUGCUAGAUUUUUAUAUUUACAUAGAACUAAUAUUGUUCUAAUCUCAAUGCUCUUUUCCUUAAACUGAGUAGGUCAUAUAGAUAGGAAUGGAGAAUUAUUUCUAAAGUGGUCCGCCAUAGUUAAUAUGCUCCAGCCCCAAAUUUGAAGCUAUAUAAGACUUUGUUAUUUCUGCAUGUAGCUCACUGCUUGAUUCACCUGUAGAUAGAGCCAUUCCUUGUAGAUGCCUUCUCCUAUAUUGUGUGGUCAGUUUCUUCAAGUUCUGUAGACCCAAAAAAACAAGUUCAUUUUAAUUACAAUGGCUCUCGGUUGAAAGUUUUAGCCUGUGUAAUUGAUCUGGGGCUAACCAUUGACUUCGUGUAGCUUAUUUGUAGGUUCUUUGCCAUUAAUAACUCAAAUUCAUUAUGUGGUGUGUAGCUAGAACUGCACCUCAACUGACAGAAAGCAACACUUGCUAGCACAUACAAUUUCUUAUCUAGAUUUUUUUUUGUCAGUAAGCGAGCAAAUAUUGGGAGAACAAUGAAAUAGAAUGGACCUAUCAUGUUGAUCAUAUGAUCCAGUUCCAAGCUUUGAUCUCUUACAAAUAUUAUAAACAAAGCAUCAUGGGAUUAGUUUUUUUCUAAAUUAGAAGUGAAACCCCAAAUAUACUUCAAAGUUUUGUUGCUUCAUAAAUGUUGAUGUAAGCUU